GCUGCUCGUAAUAAUCACACACCUCUUCGUGGUGAGCAGCAGGCAACGGUCUAAGGAUCGGCGAAGAUGUGAAG
This 74-nucleotide ribozyme is filed under the name unclassified sequences. Its description in RNAcentral is "HDV ribozyme from F. prausnitzii". It matches the Rfam family "HDV ribozyme from F. prausnitzii". RNAcentral also lists the same sequence under 1 other name. The record is from RNAcentral.